This 376-nucleotide ribosomal RNA is filed under the name uncultured bacterium. RNAcentral describes it as "bacterial SSU rRNA". It matches the Rfam family "Bacterial small subunit ribosomal RNA", at positions 524 to 898 of the family's 1533-position model. The record is from RNAcentral.
UACGGAGGGUGCAAGCGUUGUUCGGAAUCACUGGGCGUAAAGGGCGCGUAGGCGGUCCCACAAGUCCGAUGUGAAAGCCCGGGGCUCAACCCCGGAAGUGCAUUGGAAACUGUGGGACUUGAGUUCGGGAGAGGAAGGCAGAAUUCCCGGUGUAGGGUUGAAAUCCGUAGAUAUCGGGAGGAAAACCGGUGGCGAAGGCGGCCUUCUGGAACGAAACUGACGCUGAGGCGCGAAAGCGUGGGGAGCAAACAGGAUUAGAGACCCUGGUAGUCCACGCUGUAAACGAUGGAUGCUGGGUGUGGGAUUCAAUACGGAAUUCCGUGCCGAAGCUAACGCAUUAAGAAUCCCGCCUGGGGAGUACGGUCGCAAGACUAAA